GGGUGUAAAGGGCGUGUAGGCGGAGAUGCAAGUCAGGAGUGAAAUCCCGGGGCUCAACCCCGGAACUGCUUUUGAAACUGCAUCCCUUGAGUAUCGGAGAGGCAAGCGGAAUUCCUAGUGUAGCGGUGAAAUGCGUAGAUAUUAGGAGGAACACCAGUGGCGAAGGCGGCUUGCUGGACGACAACUGACGCUGAGGCGCGAAAGCGUGGGGAGCAAACAGGAUUAGAUACCCUGGUAGUCCACGCUGUAAACGAUGAAUACUAGGUGUGGGAGGACUGACCCCUUCCGUGCCGCAGUUAACACAAUAAGUAUUCCACCUGGGGAGUACGACCGCAAGGUUGAAACUCAAAGGAAUUGACGGGGGCCCGCACAAGCAGUGGAUUAUGUGGUUUAAUUCGACGCAACGCGAAGAACCUUACCAGGGUUUGACAUCCAACUAACGAAGUAGAGAUACAUUAGGUGCCCUUCGGGGAAAGUUGAGACAGGUGGUGCAUGGUUGUCGUCAGCUCGUGUCGUGAGAUGUUGGGUUAAGUCCCGCAACGAGCGCAACCCCUAUUGUUAGUUGCUACGCAAGAGCACUCUAGCGAGACUGCCGUUGACAAAACGGAGGAAGGCGGGGACGACGUCAAAUCAUCAUGCCCCUUAUAUCCUGGGCUACACACGUAAUACAAUGGUGGUUAACAGAGGGAGGCAAUGCCGCGAGGCGGAGCAAAUCCCUAAAAGCCAUCUCAGUUCGGAUUGCAGGCUGCAACUCGCCUGCAUGAAGCUGGAAUUGCUAGUAAUCGCGGAUCA
Molecule: ribosomal RNA, 792 nt
Filed under: uncultured Bacillota bacterium
Lineage: Bacteria; Bacillati; Bacillota
Description: bacterial SSU rRNA
Rfam family: Bacterial small subunit ribosomal RNA
Source: RNAcentral